UACAGCGGGUGCAGGCGUUAAUCGGAAUUACUGGGCGUAAAGCGUGCGUAGACGGUUGCGUAAGUCAGAUGUGAAAGCCCCGGGCUCAACCUGGGAAUUGCAUUUGAGACUGCGUAGCUAGGGUGCGGAAGAGGGAAGCGGAAUUUCCGGUGUAGCGGUGAAAUGCGUAGAUAUCGGAAGGAACACCAGUGGCGAAAGCGGCUUCCUGGUCCAGCACCGACGUUCAGGCACGAAAGCGUGGGGAGCAAACAGG
RNAcentral lists this ribosomal RNA (253 nucleotides) under uncultured bacterium. RNAcentral's name for it is "partial 16S ribosomal RNA". It matches the Rfam family "Bacterial small subunit ribosomal RNA", at positions 524 to 776 of the family's 1533-position model. The record is from RNAcentral.